Non-coding RNA from Microcebus murinus (gray mouse lemur), 3774 nucleotides. The record is from RefSeq and is a predicted model, not a curated record. Lineage: Eukaryota; Metazoa; Chordata; Mammalia; Primates; Cheirogaleidae.
UUGACCAGUAAUGAAAACAAAAAAAGAAAAGAAAAAGAAAAGAAAUGGUCUGAGAUGCCACCAUGAGUUUGGCAAGUUGAGGUGAGCCUUAAGAUAAAGUUAAAAGUCUGGCAUCUCAAGGAAAGAAGAAACAGAAGAUUUGGAGAGGAAAAUCACAUGAGCUGAGCCUGAACACAGAAAAGCCCAAGUCCUAUUGGGGAGGCAAAGAAAGUAUUCAGUUGGCUGGGUCUACUCUCUUGAAGAUAGUUCAAAGUUGCUGAGGCCUAAGCUCCUGACUUUUUAUAGAUGAUCUGUUAUCUAUAAAAAGUGACGUGUUACCCUCGUGAGACAGUCUGCCUAUUAGCCUUCCUCUCCACUUUCACGGUGGCUGACAACUUUGCCUUCCUCUUCACCCACAAUGGCAGACCCUGUUGACUGGCUAAAGCAAUAGCCAUUCCUAACCCCUACUUAGUUGUUGCCUCUCACAACAAAGGCUAAUAAGCUAGUUGUUUAUUUUCCUGGACUCCCUCAAAGGCAGAGACAUUCACAUGGCUCCAUUCUGGCUGAUGAGUCAAAAAAAGAAAAGUCCGCUGUGGGCUUCUGAGAAAACAGAUAACAGAAAUGAAGGAAGAAGAAAUUUUGCUUCCUUCUUCUUGCCUUGACUGAGUACAUGAUAUGUGGACCUCUUGAAGCCAUCUUGUAAUGAAGAGAUGACAAGGAGAAAUAUGAAAAGCCUAUACAGCAGCAAAGACAGAGUAAAAUAAAUGGAAUGAGGUUAUAAUGAUAUCGCUAAAAUCAUUCAACCCUAACUCCAGAAAUUUUGUUGUACCAGUAAAUAAAUAAAGAUCCCUUCAUGUUAAGGCACCAGUAGUUAACACCAUUUUGUUACUUGCAGCCAACAGUAUUCCUAACUGAUUUACCUGCCCUCACCCUCAUUAAGUUCCAAGUCUACAAGGCUGUUUCAAGAGAUGCCAUAUUCUAAUCACCAUUAGAUGAUUAGCAGGUCAAGGAUGAGGCCUUGACUCAAGUCCUUUCCUGGGAUCUUACAACCUGCAUCUGAGAAGAAAUGUCAGCUCUGUCACAUGGCUUAAGUCAUAUAAAAUGUCACACUUAGGUGGUCAGCAGCUACGCUUUUUGCACUGAAUAGAAAGCCUAUCUACAAUGAGAAAGUCAGGAGUCAACAUGCACAGAGAAGCACAGAUGAAACACAGAAAGAAAGUCCCAGUGAGGCUCAAUUCCCUGGUGCCGGCUGUUCCUGAGCCAUCUGCAUUUGUGCUCUUUCUACAGUUUUAGAAAAGCACAGCUGAUACUUCUCACUUCCUCUCACCUUGCACAUGGAUAUACUAUUUGGAGCUACAGAAGUCAUCUUGCCACCCUCAGGACAAAGUCAAGGGAAUCACAGAGAUUACAGCUCUGACAACUUAGAGCUCCUGAGCCCACAACAUCCAUCAGUAGCCACCAAUCUUCAGACGUAUUAGUCUUCAGACAUCAUCGUUUCUACUUACAGAAUUGAAGAAUGAUACACUGAAAUAUUAAGUAAUUUUUCAGACACCACACACAGCUAUGAAGUUUCUAAGCCAGGAUUCCAACUCAGAGUUGUUUGAUUUGAAAGCUCGUUCUUUUCACCACUUGUGAAGACUGACUCAAUGAGGCUAAACCAAGAAAAGAGCUGUCAAAGACAACACGGGUUUGCAAGCCCAGCAAAUGAGAAAAUCUGUAUCAGCUGAAUCCAUUUACCAGUUUACCCAUGAGUUUGUAGUAUGGGCCAGAAUAAAAAGCCUUGCUAAUGUUGGUAAUAGAUGAGUUCUUUCUAAAGUGCCUUCACAAGAAUUAUCAAUGCUGCCACUUUUUGUCACAGGAGAUUGGAUUCUCCUCUAUAAAGCCAAAAUGGUUACCAGCCAGUGUUCUAUUUCCUUUAAGAUGCUUGCAAAUUUAUUCACAAAGGAGACCCAUGUUCUAAGAUAGGGUGGGGGAAAGGUUGUUUAAACCAGUUAUGAGUAAGAAAAGGCAUCUCAUGAAAGAAAAUGCCUCCAUUUGGAAUUGAGAAGGCCACGUUUGGGAUCAGAAAUGAUUUUUAAAAGAGUAGGAAAACACCUCCACAUUGUGAUUUAAAGAUCAAGAAAUAGAUCAUUUAAUUUUCCCCAGAGUACUAUAUUGCACUUAGCCUGAUGCAUACCAUAAGAUGGAAGAAAGGGAAAGCACUUUGUACCAGACAGAAUAUAUUUAAAUACCAACUCCACCACUAACUGUGCCUUAGCCUCCAAAACUCAAUGAGCAUAAUGAGAUAAAAGAUACAGAAAAUAUUAGAUCAUUACCUGGCCCUCCUAAGUGCUAGAUAAGUGGUGUUGCUAAUAUCAAUGACAACAAUUAUAAAAGCAAUGACAACAGCCCAGAAGUACUUCAUCUAGAUGAUGACUAUGUUAACACUGUGGGCAAAAGAAGUGGUUGGGAUAUAUGCAACUUAAAGUAUUACUAGGAGCAGUGAUAUGAAUGUAAGUUCGAGGACAUUUUGUAUAAACAAAGCUGACUACUUCCUACGAAAAGGUUGGUAUCCUGAGACCCUCCCAUUACUUCAGAAUAAUCCUCAAAAAGGAUAGUGGGCUUUGAUGUUUAUCAGCCCAAAGUGGUGCCACCCCCCCCCCACUCCACGUACCAAUAGUAGAAACAGUUUACAAUGCACUCAGUCAUCAACUUUGAAAUUAUGUGAUUCUGGUUAAAAAUUUUUAUUAUAGGACGGGGUUCACAUUGUUCUGAAUUUUACUUAUAAAGUGAAGUAACAUUAACUGUUGUCACAAAAUUUCAAAUAUAUGUGAUUCCAGUUCUUAUAAAAUGUGGCUGUUCCAAUGUAGGCCAAGUUCUGAAGUCUGGAAUGGAAUCUCAGGUAAAGAUGGUUGCCUUUCUAUAAAAUCCAUCCCAACCAUCGCUUCUAGAGAAUACACUUGUGUCUGGGAAGCAGCUGCCUCACGAGUAAUCACAUUUUCCAGCUGCCUUGGACCAGCCAUUGCCAUGUGAUUAGUUCCCUCCAGUAGAAUAUAAGUGGCAUUUCCAUCCCCACACCCUUACCCCUGACCAGAUGCAGAUGAUAAUUUGGCCAUCAAAGAACCCAAAGAUGGGAGGAGUGUGGGUGCCUGAAUCACUGCAUGAAAAAAAAGCCACCAUUGACCACAUCCUGGAUUGUGACAUGAGUUAGAAAGUUCUAUUGUGCGUGAGACAUCAUAUACCUUUAGAAUUUUUUUAAUAGUUAAAUCUCAUAUAGAUUCCAUAGAGGGAAGUUACAUUAAAAAAAAAAAAAGAUUUGAGUUAAUAAGACCCCAGUUGCGAUACUAAUAGCAAGAGACAAAAAGAAAAUCUAGAUACAUGUUAUCACAACCCUUUAAGAGGAUUUUUAAAAAUUGAACAACCACCAUCCAUUACACUAUCCAGUCAGUGUAUCUGACAGGUGUUAUUAACAGCAAUGUGUGUGUGUGUGUGUGUGUGUGUGUGUGUAUGCUAAGCUUUACAUCCCUGCUUAUAUGAAAAGCCUCGGUUAGUCAUGGUUUCCAUAGGUUUAGAAAGAAUUUUUAACUGAAGUUUCUAUCUCCAUGCAAAUGAAAAUUAAGGGCAGGUAGUUAUUUGCGGAAUCUUUCCCAUAGGAGCCCACCUCUAAGAGGGCCCCAGUGAUUCUCACCUCUUGAUAUUCAUACCCCUGUACUGUCCAUGUAGGGUAGGUACUGCAAACAUGACAGGUGUGAUUUCCAAAGCUAGAUAAUAAAAUACAUGUGGCUUCUCCUUUUCUUUCACUUGAAUCACUUGUCC